UAGGAAGUGGUGUAGUGGAAGCACUGAGAAUUUUGAAUUCUUCGGUAGAGGUUCAAAUCCCCUUUUUCUAA
Molecule: transfer RNA, 71 nt
Filed under: Aphyosemion gabunense (Gabon killifish)
Lineage: Eukaryota; Metazoa; Chordata; Actinopteri; Cyprinodontiformes; Nothobranchiidae
Description: tRNA-Gln
Rfam family: tRNA
About the family: Transfer RNA (tRNA) molecules are approximately 80 nucleotides in length. Their secondary structure includes four short double-helical elements and three loops (D, anti-codon, and T loops). Further hydrogen bonds mediate the characteristic L-shaped molecular structure. tRNAs have two regions of fundamental functional importance: the anti-codon, which is responsible for specific mRNA codon recognition, and the 3' end, to which the tRNAs corresponding amino acid is attached (by aminoacyl-tRNA synthetases). tRNAs cope with the degeneracy of the genetic code in two manners: having more than one tRNA (with a specific anti-codon) for a particular amino acid; and 'wobble' base-pairing, i.e. permitting non-standard base-pairing at the 3rd anti-codon position.
Source: RNAcentral